RNAcentral lists this ribosomal RNA (450 nucleotides) under uncultured bacterium. RNAcentral describes it as "bacterial SSU rRNA". It matches the Rfam family "Bacterial small subunit ribosomal RNA", at positions 354 to 796 of the family's 1533-position model. The record is from RNAcentral.
GUGGGGAAUUUUGGACAAUGGGCGAAAGCCUGAUCCAGCCAUGCCGCGUGCAGGAUGAAGGCCUUCGGGUUGUAAACUGCUUUUGUACGGAACGAAACGGCUCUUUCUAAUAAAGGGGGCUAAUGACGGUACCGUAAGAAUAAGCACCGGCUAACUACGUGCCAGCAGCCGCGGUAAUACGUAGGGUGCGAGCGUUAAUCGGAAUUACUGGGCGUAAAGCGUGCGAAGGCGGUGAUGUAAGACAGAUGUGAAAUCCCCGGGCUCAACCUGGGAACUGCAUUUGUGACUGCAAGGCUAGAGUACGGCAGAGGGGGAUGGAAUUCCGCGUGUAGCAGUGAAAUGCGUAGAUAUGCGGAGGAACACCAAUGGCGAAGGCAAUCCCCUGGGCCUGUACUGACGCUCAUGCACGAAAGCGUGGGGAGCAAACAGGAUUAGAUACCCCGGUAGUCC